RNAcentral lists this ribosomal RNA (151 nucleotides) under uncultured Actinomycetes bacterium. RNAcentral describes it as "uncultured actinobacterium partial 16S ribosomal RNA". It matches the Rfam family "Bacterial small subunit ribosomal RNA", at positions 335 to 504 of the family's 1533-position model. Lineage: Bacteria; Bacillati; Actinomycetota; Actinomycetes. The record is from RNAcentral.
ACUCCUACGGGAGGCAGCAGUGGGGAAUCUUGCGCAAUGGGCGAAAGCCUGACGCAGCCACGCCGCGUGAGGGAUGAAGGCUUUCGGGUUGUAAACCUCUUUCAGCAGGGACGAAAAUGACGGUACNGCAGAAGAAGNNCCGGCCAACACC